CCUACGGGUGGCAGCAGUGAGGAAUAUUGGUCAAUGGCCGAGAGGCUGAACCAGCCAAGUCGCGUGAGGGAAGACGGCCCUACGGGUUGUAAACCUCUUUUGUCGGGGAGCAAAGAGAGUCACGUGUGACCCAUUGAGAGUACCCGAAGAAAAAGCAUCGGCUAACUCCGUGCCAGCCGCCGCGGUAAUACGGAGGAUGCGAGCGUUUUCCGGAUUUAUUGGGUUUAAAGGGAGCGUGAGCCGCAUGUCAAGCGUGCUGUGAAAUGUCCGGGGUCAACCCGGGCCUUGCAGUGGGAACUGGCGUGCUUGAGUGCGCGGGAAGCAGGCGGAAUUCGUCGUGUAGCGGUGAAAUGCUUAGAUAUGACGAAGAACCCCGAUUGCGAAGGCAGCUUGCUGCAGCGGAACUGACGCUGAUGCUCGAAAGCGCGGGUAUCGAACAGGAUUAGAUACCCCGGUAGUC
RNAcentral lists this ribosomal RNA (460 nucleotides) under uncultured bacterium. RNAcentral's name for it is "partial 16S ribosomal RNA". It matches the Rfam family "Bacterial small subunit ribosomal RNA", at positions 338 to 795 of the family's 1533-position model. The record is from RNAcentral.